RNA transcript from Perca fluviatilis (European perch), 5000 nucleotides. It is a transcript of the gene named ribonucleoprotein, PTB-binding 2, with no coding region annotated. The transcript is spliced from 17 exons. The record is from RefSeq and is a predicted model, not a curated record. NCBI's taxonomy places the organism in Eukaryota, Metazoa, Chordata, Actinopteri, Perciformes, Percidae.
UUCCCUCACACUUUUCACUCAGCUACCCAAGAUGGCGGCAGCCCCAUCCAUCCAGCCGCCGAGCGUUCACUCUUCUAUAGCCGGGGAAAGCGCACUUUCCCCGGAGAUGGACAGCCCCGAGAGCAGGCAACCGGAGGAUAAGGAGGCGGCGGCAGCAACAACAACACAGCCCUCCGACUCGGAGAUUAGCCUCCGCGACCUGCCAGACCUGGAGCCGGAGGAGAUCGAGAGGAGGCUGGCCAAAACUCGACAAGAGCUGAGCAACAGGAGGAAAAUCCUCAUUAAGAACCUGCCGCCUGACACCACUAACCAGGAAGUCCACGAGAUUCUGAAAGAAUAUGAACUGAAGUACUGCUUUGUGGACCGUAACAAAGGCACAGCCUUUGUGACUUUGCUGAACGGGGACCAGGCUCAGGAUGCCAUCCGCUCCCUCCAUCACAGCACUGUUCGGGGACGCUUGAUCAACGUCACGCUGCAGCCCACCGACUCCCUUCUCUGCCUCACCAACCUGCCCCACACCUUCACUGCCCAGCAGUUAGAGGAGCUGGUACGUGCCUAUGGGAACAUCGAACGCUCCUUCCUGGUGUACAGCGAGCUGACGGGCCACUCCAAAGGAUAUGGGUUUGUUGAAUACAUGAAGAAGGAUUCUGCUUCACGGGCCCGUUCUGAGCUGCUGGGCCGACCACUGGACGAUCGCUCAUUGAUGGUGCAGUGGAUGGACGUCAACCAGCUGAGCCAAGAGGAGAACCUGCACUCGAAGUGUCUCUGUAUAAACCGGCUGCCGCUGGACCUCUGUGACUCUGAAGAACUGACCCAGCUCUUCUCGGAAACCUACAAACCUGUCUUCUGCCAGCUUGCUCAGGAUGAGGGCAGCCCAGUGCGAGGCUUCGGUGUGGUGGAGUAUGAGAACUCGGAGCAGGCGGAGGCUGUGCUGAUAGAGAUGGACCGAACACUGGUGGGAGGACAGGAGGUCCGUCUGUCACUCUGUACCCCCGGCACCUCAGGGAGAAGCACCCUGGCUGCACUCAUCGCCGCCCAGGGUAUGAUUCUGAGUAAUAGGAAAGGUCUGCUACCAGAACCCAACCUCGCCCAGCUGUUAACCAGUGUGACCAACCCUGCUGCCCUGCAGAUCCUCAUGAGGCCGUACCACACUGGGAAAAGAGGAGGGAAGUACGGACGUCACACCAGCCUGCCAUUCCUCAGACCUCCUCUCACCACAGCUCUGCUCACACUGGGAAAAGCACACCAGAAUGCUAUGCUGGGUAAUGGACUAGUCCUCCAGAACCUCUUGCACAUGCAGCUCGCACAGCAACAGCUUCUUCACAUCAAAGACAAACGCCUCAGCAACGUCUCCAGUCUGCUUGGGAACCCGUCCAGGCUGCUGAUGCAGAAAGCUUUGUCUCUGCGGCCUCCAGGCCUUGUGUCGCUGGGGAAAGGCCUCCUGGGAGACUCCCCAACAGAGCUGGGCCAGGAGUCAAUGCCAUCCCACAAUGCCACAGUAGUGGUAUCAGCAGCAGGUGUGAUGCCAUACCUCCAGGGUCGAGCUGGAGGGGGAGAACUAAACAGCACCCAUUCUAUCUCCACAAACCCUUCUGCUUCCUCUUCUUCUUCCUCCUCCAUCUCCUGUGACAGGCAGCCAGCUCCUCCCGGGACCAUGGUGAGCUCCCAUCUGCAGGAACAGUGCUAUUCCUUGGGUUUAAGUCACUCAGGCCUCGGUCCACCUCCACCUAAACCCCCUGGAGGAGUUUAUACGUCAACAGGCCAGCGCCACAGCUCAGAUGGCUGCCCCCUGGCUAGCAUGGUAAGCAGUGGUCAGGGCUCUCUGCUGGGCGAUCCUCCUAAAGAAGUGAGACUGCCCUCCAAUCCUUAUCUCAACCUGGCCAGUGUCAUGCCAGGGAUGGUUAUGCAAGGGUCAGUGGGGAGUAAAGCACAGGGAGGACAGCCUGGCUCUGGGGUUUACGGCAGCUCGGUUGCUCCCGUCGUCUCCCAGGGUUCUGGCUCCUUCUCCCACAACGCAACAGCUACAACCACAGCUCAAUACAGCACUGAUACCUCCACUGAUUACAGCCAGUACAACCAGGCCUACACACAGGAGGCCAUGCAGCAGUGGUACCAGCACUACCAAGCUCAAGCUCAAGCUCAAGCUCAAGCUCAAGCUCACAACUACAGCACAGCUGCUCAGCAGGACAACACUGCCACAGACUACAGCAAGGAGCACACACAGGCUCCUCCGGUGACGACCUAUGGGGAUUACAGUUCCUACAUGCAGGCAGUCACUCAGUACUACUCCCAGCCUGCAACAGCCAACCAGGCCUACGCCAGCAAGGAGGUAGAUGUGUGUAAGCCUCUAGGAGUCUCUCUGCACACAGUCAGUAACGGCGCCGCCCCUCCCCCGGCCGUCCUACCAGCUGCUGCCGUGCUCCCAGCCUACAGCACCCUGCCAUUAAUGCCCGGCUUCCUGGGCGCGCCACACCCGGCGGCGGCCACGCCAAGCCCCGUCACACACACACACACUGCCGCCACUGACUGGAACACCUACUACUAUAACCAGACGAGGGGCCAUAAAAGGGAGUACCCUCAGCUGGCGGUGCAGGAAGUGACAUCAUCAGAUGGCGCUUACAUCGGGCAGCACUCCCAAGGCCUGGGAGGGCAGUACGCUGACUACUUUAAGAGGAAGAGGCUCUAGUAUGAACCAAACCACCUUAAAGCCUAAAGCUUAUGGAAGGAGGCGCGCACACACACACUGCGUCUGUUGGAUGUCACAGCUCCCUCUAGUGGCCUUUCUGUGGCUGCCAUUUUGCAUCCCUACAGUAAUGGGGGUAAGGAGAGACAGGCUGAAAGAAAGAGAGGAAUGGAAAAACAACUCCAGCUGCCUUCACCCGCUCAGCCUGCAGGGAUUUCUUCUUCUAUUUUUUUUUCUUACAAUUUUUGUAGUUGUGUGUCUUUCUCCCUUUUCUGUCUGCUUGGCCAGUGAUGAGUGUUGUUUAUGUCUGCCAGACUCCUGCAUGUUGCACGUACCUGUAGAGCUGUCACACACACACACACACACACACACACACACACACACACACACACACACACACACACACACACACACACACACACUGUAUAUGUCUCCUCUGCUCUCGUAUUUGUAUUAACUGGAUGCUCGCACAACUUCUCCCAGUGUGAUCCAAAUCUAUAUGAAUACAGGACACUGUACACUGUAAAAACAAUGACAGUUCUCUUCUUUUUUUUUACUGCAGGCCAAAUAACAAACAAAGCCCCCCCCCCCUUGUUGCAUGUGAUGUCGUACGCCCGUCCUCUCUCUAGGGGUGUUUUGUUUUUAGGCUGUACCAGAAUGUGAAAGUGUUCUUAUAGAUAUCUAAUCUAAAUAUAUAUCUUCCCAUGAAUCUGGAACAUGCUUGACAUUAUAUAAAAGUGAAGUUGGGGCCUGAGAUUGACACUGGGAUUAAGUUGUUUAUACUGUAUGUUGGCAAGGGCUGCCGAAUGCUAAAACACCAUGAGUUUUGGUCUUCAGUCUUAAAAGAAAACACCGUUAUAGGCUACAUCCCUCUCUGACAGCUAAUGUCAUAUGAGAAGAAAAUCUUGACACUUUUUGUCAUUUCAUCACAUCACCUACAAUUUCUUUUGGGAUGUUUUCUAAUGGCUAACUUGUCCCAUGCAAUCAGUUUUUCUUUGGAAAUAGAAGCUUGUACUUGCUUGGUUUGGUAUCACAGGUAGGUCUGUGGCUGUGCUGCAAGUCCCAAAUGAUCAGCUUUUCUUAAUGCACAUUUGCAUUUCUGGUUCUAAGCUUUUGAAUAGUCUUUAGUCUCCACUGUUUAUUUUUUAACAAAGGACUGCUUUGGAUAUAUCAAAUGAUGGAUAUAUCUUUAAUUUAACUAAUAUUGCAAUACUAUCUUUAUAACUGCCUCCCACAGUUUCAGUAUGAUAGUAUUAAAGUAUGUAUAUGUCACUUAAUAUCAGCCCCUUUCUUUAUGAAGAAAUGUUGAAUGGUUGGACUCUAUUAUUUUGUUGUGCCUCUCUGUGCCAUCAACUAGCUGUGACGUCCUCAUGAUGAUUGUACACAAAGGGGCCUGAUAUCCCUGAAGUAACACAGCACAACGAAGCCUGCAUACGCACAGGGCGAAGGAUGCUCUUGAAUCUUGUGUAACGCUGGUAAUCUUAACCUGUUAGUGAGCCAGCUGCAGUUCAGGGCAAAUUCUGUUUUUGUGUAAAUGCAGCCCAUUUCUUUUGUUUUGGUCUUUAGUUGUAGAAAUAUGAUAUUGACAUGAAAAUGCAGUCCGUUUUAUUUUUCGAGUGUUCAUUUACAUCACAACAGAAAAUCUUACUUGUAGUCUUGUGUAGUUUAGUUGUAACAUAUAUAAUUUUUUUUUUUAUAGCUGAAUCACUUCAGGUUAAAAACCAGAUCUUUCUGUUCUGUGUAAACGGAGCCUCCUCUAAGCUUCAGUGUGUUGCCAUUGUACCAGUACGCAGUCCGCGUAUUACAGUGUCAGUGGUGAGGCUGGACUUAGCAAUAGUAAGUGUGUGUGUGUGUGUGUGUGUGUGUGAGACAAAGCUCUGCAAAGUAUUUCUGAUUUUCUGACAUGUUUUGUAGAUUAAACUAGAUUUGCUGUGCUUCUUGCUUUGUAAACUGUUUUUUUUUUUGCUUUUUAAGUAUGUGGAUUUUAGUCUCACCUGAAACAUACUGUAGAUUUUGCAACAUUUUAUAUCACACUGACAUUGCUAUUGUUUUACUGUGAAUAAGGUAAUUCUAGAGCAAUUUUAGCAUGCCUACUUACAACUGUAAUAUAUGGAACAAACUGUUUUUAGUAGUUAAUAUAUUGCAUUUGGACUGACAGAACACGACAAACAUUGAUUUUAUUUAUUUUUUCAUGGUUACCUUCCAUAAUUCAUACUUUUGUCUUAUUUUUUGAAAAAUAUAUAAAUUUCUUUUCUCUUAUUUUGAGCAGAAGGAAUUGUCUUUUACAUUCCUAAAUAAAAUGUGGACUAAAGCGCAA